Molecule: long non-coding RNA, 3589 nt
Organism: Camelus dromedarius (Arabian camel)
Lineage: Eukaryota; Metazoa; Chordata; Mammalia; Artiodactyla; Camelidae
Exons: 3
Source: RefSeq, a predicted model, not a curated record
CAUCAGCCAGUGGUGGGCAGACCCAGGGCCAGAAGCCAAGGGCACAUUCUUUCCAGGACCCUGGGCUGGGAUUGUGAUCUCUGCCCUGCAGAAUCCAAAGUUCAGAAGCCAAGGCCAGCAUAGGUGCAGAAGUGGCUCCAGAAUUCUUAUGAAGAGAGAAUUUGAGGGGAGAUUAAGAACUGGUCUUGAAGUCCUGUUUGCAUAUUCUCUACGGAUGAUGCACCCUGUGGUAGGUGUGGAGAUAUUCUGCUCCACCUCCCUUCAAGGAAAAGGAUGCGCUGCCCAGCUGCCCAGGUCAAACUACUAUCACGUCAGUCGCUCCAUUACUUGCAUAAGCCCAGGGUGAAGUUACUCAAGAUCAACCAUUGAUCCCUUGCCGACUGAGCCUGCAUCUCCACCAUCCAAAGUCCCUAAACUUUUUGACAACUGCCACCCUUCAGUACAGAGCGUUUUCAUUCUUCACCAGGGCAACAGGGGGGUUAGAUUUCAUCUCUGGUUUGCUGUGUUGCCUUCAAAUACAUUGCUUAACCUCUCUGAACCUCCUUUUUCCAUUUCUGAAUAUCAAGGAGAGCUGCUAUGAGUCUCUGUUACCUUCAGGGAUAGGAGUGACUAUGUUUCCAAUGCUUUACAUUUAAUAUAACAGCCCUAUGAGGUUAUUAUACCCAUUUUACAGUUAAGGAAACUGAGGCUCAGGGAAGCUAAGUGUUUCAUACUAGUAAGUGGUAGAGUUGGGAUUCAUUCCUCCUACUCCCAGUCCAAGUUUCUCUCUAGAGUACCUCUGGAGACUUUCCAGAUUUUUAUAAAUGAGAGGGAUCUGAGAAGUCAGUAGUCCUGGGACUUGAAACCCAAAUGCUCCAGAAGCCAGGAGAGUGACCCAGAAGAGAGAAGAGCUGAUGGGAUUGUGGAGUUGUACACUCACGUUUGUCAACAGGGCAAUGAGUAAUCAGUUCCAGCCAGCUAUUACCUGUGGGGAUGUGGGCCUGGUUUGGCCAGGUUUUGUUCAAGAGAAGCUGGAAAUCUGAAUUUUGAUGUGAAAUCCAUUGAUUUAAAAAUUCUUUUGGUUUUAAUUCCAUUUAUAGAAAAUAACCAGAAUAGGUAAAUCCAUAGAGACAGAAUGCAGACUGGCGGUUUCCAGAGGCUGGGAGGAGGGAGGAAUGGACAGUGACUGCGAAUAGGUAUUGGUUUCCUUUUGGGGUGAGGAAAAAGUUUUAGAACUAGAUAGAGAUGGUGGCUGCACAACAUUGUGAAGGCACUAGGUAAACUGUUCACUUAAAAAUGGUUAAUUUUAGGUUAUGGGACUCUCUUCUCAAUUAAAAAAGUGUAUUGGUUCUAAAAUUUUCUUUAUUAUUGUAUGUAUUUUUUAAUAUUAGGGGAAAGUAUUUUUAUCAAAGAUUAAUACACAUGGAAAAGUACAAAUGGUAUACAGCUUCUGAAUUUUUGCAAACUGACCACACUUAUUUAAUCUGCUCAGAUAUGCAAGCAUAUUAUAGGCACGUAUAAGGGGGAAUUGACUUUGUUGUAUAAAAAUCAUAUCACACACUAUGUGGGUCUCUGCAUCUUACUUACCAAAUGUUUGAAUAUUGGCCUCUGUGCUGGAGAUUCUGUGUGCCCCUCCCAGGCUCUUCCCUCCUUGCCCUACUGUGCGCCCCAAGCCCUUUGCUCUCAGGCCACCAGAGGCUCUGGCAGAUGAGAGGAGAGAAGAGGGGCUCCCUCUCUGCCAGACGUUGUUUUAGUAGCAGCUGUGUUCUUCCGAAGGCCACACUCCUGUGGGUGGCUAUGACCCUCUUGAGGAUCCCAAACUGCUCCCUCCCCUUGGCCCUUUAGGUCUGGGGGUGAUACCCCACCCCUAGGGUUGCCAGUCCUAGACGUUUUCAUCAUCCCUUAUUUGCUCUCUCAAACUUGCCCAUGUCUCUGUAAACAGCAUUUUUAUCAAAUGUCCCUUAACUAUCCUGAGUGUGCCAGCUGUUUCAUGAUGGGGCUCUGAACUGAUUCAACGCCUAAUUUAAAAUUCUUAAAAACUCUCAGUGAGCCAACUCACAUAGACUGGUCACAAAUGUAGACCUUGGAGUCCAGUCUCUUGCUUUAUAGAUGCAGGUACUGUGAGUAAUUGGCUUGCCAGUUUGCCUGGCUCCAAGGUCAGGGCAGAGGGGAAAUGUGGAAGGUUUGCAGGGUCCUUAAAGCAGGCAGUAGGGUCAUGCCCCGCCCAGGUCCUGAGGGGAGCUCUCGUCCCCCUGGCUCCACUUCCCCAUUCCAUAUUUCCUGGUCUCCUUGUUCUGAAAUGACAAUGAAAGACAUGGAUAUUUUGAAAAGGCAAACAAUUUAAGUUCUAGAUCUUGGCAGCUUUGUAAAACCAAGCCUAUGUUGGCUGCCAGUGGCCACUGCAGGUAAGACAAACCUGCAUAACCAGAAUGGGGAAGGAGCAGGCUCUUCUGUCUGUUACCUGAGAAUCCUCACUUAAAUACUCAGUCAAACAUCUAAAGAUAAGCAUCUGUCCAUAUCCUCUGAGUCCCCAGUGCGUUACACACACGUACAGGUGCAUUUACCACACAGAUGAAAAGUACAGUAAACAGUCCGGCUUUGGGGCAGGUCAGAGAAUGAUUCCCAGGAGAGGUAAUGUUUAUGCUGGAUGGAGCUUGAAGGAGGAGCUGAAAUCAGCUUGGCUGGAGGUGGUGUCACCUAGAGAAGGGAGGAGCAGGUGCCAAGACCUGUUGCUGAGAGAGACCGAGCAAUAAAUGUGCCAGAAACUGCUAGAAAUUCAGUGUGGCUGGAAAUAAGGGGUGUGUGGUAGUGUGUGCAUGUGUGCGUGUGCGCAGGGAUCAAGAGGCAAGCAAGUAGCAGAAGGAUAAGAGAAGGUGCUGGAAAGUCAUCGAAACCUUUUAAGCAGCAGGGUAAUAAUGCUAUUCUUUGGGUAGGUUAUUCUGGCUGCUGUGUGGAGAGGCUGAAAGGGUCAACUGGAAGUAGAGACAAGUUCAGAGGCCUCUGCCAUCUGAAAAGAGAUUGGGGUGGUGGCAUGAGAGCAGAAGUGGGGGUGAUGGAAUGGCUUUGAGAGCUAUGAAGGCAGUAGAAGGGACAGGAUUUAGGUUCAUUAUAAUAACAACAUAAUAUAGUGACUUUAACAAUAGCUCUGGUUUCCCACUGCAUAGGUGAGAAUCUUCUCCCCACCCUUUGUAUUUGGAAAAAUUUCAAACCUCACAAGAGUUGCAAAAUAGUUUCCAUGAACAUCCAUGUACCAUCAUAUAGAGUUACCUAUUGUUACAUUUUGCCUUUCUCUCUUUUUCUCUCUUGGUCUCUGUCUCUCUUUAUAUAUACAUGUAUCUGUGUAUGUAUUACUUCCCCUACCAACCCAACCACUUGCAAAUUUGUUGCAGAAAUCAGGAUGCUGUACCUUGAAAUAUUGUAACAUUUAUCUCCUUUGAAUAAGAAGACUCUCUUAUGUAAUCACAAUACCAUAAUCUUACUGAGGAAAUUUAACAUCGAUUGACUAUAAUACAAGUCCAUAUUCAAAUUUCACCAGUUGUCCCAAUAAUGUCUUUUAAAGCUGCUACUUUUAAUUAAAGAAAUUCCAUCAAGGAUUGUGUAUUGCAAUUUA